ACUCAGCCAUUUUAUAGCAGCUCUUGAGCUCAGUGGAGCUGGCGUUAAACCUCAGUCGCUUUGAUCAUGACAAAUAGGAGCUGGGAAACCAAAUUCAGUGCAAAGCCACCGGCUGCCUGCGAAGCUGCUGCUUUUCCAGGGCUUGGGUACCUAUAUGGAACUGUGCUGAUGCGGUGUGGGGGCAGUCAGGGUGGGCGCUGUGCUGCAGCCAGGGCUGCUGCUGGGACGUCCUGCCCAUCUUUGCUCUUCCUCCUGCAGCACCAGAGGCUCCGCUGAUGGCACAGCUGUGCUUUGGCUCAUCCACUGUGCCUCCCUGGGUUGCAGCUGUGCAGUGGAGGUUGUCCAGACAGAGAAACUGGGGGCUGUAGGGAUGUCGUGCUGGUUUGUUCUAUGGGGGCGAUCGCCCAUGAGGAUGUUGGUGGUCCCCCAGCUCUGGAUUUGUGGCAUGGUCAGGGGGCACAGCACAGAGCCCUUGGGAUCCUGCAGCGGGGCAUGAGUGGGGCACACUCACAGAAUCAGGACAGCGCUGGCACAGGUACCCCAGGCACAGGUACACCCAGACACACCCCCUCGGUGGGGCUGCAGCUCCACUGAGCUGGGCACAGUGUGGAGGGGCUGUGUCAGGAGCAGAAGGGGUGCGAGGGAGGGAGGGUUGAGGCAGCGGCUCCCGCAGUGCCUCGCUCUACUUGCCUCGGUCCCCAGGCUCCCUUCCCUUUCCUUCCCUUUCCUUCCCCUCCGCUGCCUUUUAUGCCGCUCGCCCAAGGCUGCAGGGCCUGGGGAUCUUUCCAGUCCUCCCCAGCUGGGGUUUGGCAGCUCUAAUUUUAGGCACUUCGCAGUUUUGCUUUCUUGCUGCUCAGCCGAGGAGCAGCGCCUGUACGGGAGGCGAGCCCGGCCCUUCCCCACCGCCGCGGCUUUGUCUUUGUUUCGCUUUGGUGCCUCGGUGCUGCUGCUCGCUGCGGCCGAGCCCUUCCGGAGCUGGGGCUGACACGUGGCCGCCCAUCGGAGCUGGGGCUGCCCAGCGCUUUUGCUGCCCCACGGAGGGACCCCAGCCCCAUCCCGGCACCUCACGGUGGGCUCCGGGCAAAGCUGUGCGCGCUGCCCGCGGGCACUAACGCGCACACACCGGCUGUUAUCCUCUCUGAUUUUCCAUUACCAGCAGGAGGAGAACAGCAAAAGUUUCGUAAGGGAAGGGAAACUCCCAGAAAGAAACCAAGGGUUCACAUUGAAUGUGGAAAUUCCUGGAAAUGUGACCAGCUGCAAUCAGGAGCCGCAUCAACACAGACGAUGCUGGGAGCUGUGAGGGAAGCAUUCUCUCCAAAUCCUGGUGAAUCAGAAAUAACAUCUAAUGCUGCCCUUAAGGUUUUGUGUUCAGCCAGGAAACAAGUGGGAGCUGGAAAGGUGGACAGACUCAAUCAUUUCAUUCUGCAUCGUGUCAAACUACCACUUACCUUACCAGAUAUUUUGUGGAAGCCCUGCUGGUCUCAGCCCGUAGGUUUGAGGCUGUAG
Molecule: long non-coding RNA, 1506 nt
Filed under: Coturnix japonica (Japanese quail)
Lineage: Eukaryota; Metazoa; Chordata; Aves; Galliformes; Phasianidae
Description: lncRNA (ENSCJPG00005012266.1)
Source: RNAcentral